UACGAAGGGUGCAAGCGUUAAUCGGAAUUACUGGGCGUAAAGGGUGCGUAGGCGGUUUGUUAAGUCUGUUGUGAAAUCCCCGGGCUCAACCUGGGAAUGGCAAUGGAUACUGGCAGGCUAGAGUGUGUCAGAGGGUAGUGGAAUUCCCGGUGUAGCAGUGAAAUGCGUAGAGAUCGGGAGGAACAUCUGUGGCGAAGGCGACUGCCUGGACCAGCACUGACACUGAGGCACGAAAGCGUGGGGAGCAAACAGGAUUAGAUACCCUGGUAGUCCACGCCCUAAACGAUGCGAACUGGAUGUUGGGCUCAACUUGGAGCUCAGUAUCGAAGCUAACGCGUUAAGUUCGCCGCCUGGGGAGUACGGUCGCAAGACUGAAACUCAAAG
RNAcentral lists this ribosomal RNA (384 nucleotides) under uncultured bacterium. Its description in RNAcentral is "bacterial SSU rRNA". It matches the Rfam family "Bacterial small subunit ribosomal RNA", at positions 524 to 906 of the family's 1533-position model. The record is from RNAcentral.